Molecule: ribosomal RNA, 1382 nt
Filed under: uncultured Enterobacterales bacterium
Lineage: Bacteria; Pseudomonadati; Pseudomonadota; Gammaproteobacteria; Enterobacterales
Description: bacterial SSU rRNA
Rfam family: Bacterial small subunit ribosomal RNA
Source: RNAcentral
AGCUUGNUCUCGGGUGACNAGNGGCGGACGGGUGAGUAAUGUCUGGGAAACUGCCUGAUGGAGGGGGAUAACUACUGGAAACNGNAGCUAAUACCNCAUAACGUCNCAAGACCAAAGAGGGGGACCUUCGGGCCUCUUGCCAUCAGAUGUGCCCAGAUGGGAUUAGCUAGUAGGUGGGGUAACGGCUCACCUAGGCGACGAUCCCUAGCUGGUCUGAGAGGAUGACCAGCCACACUGGAACUGAGACACGGUCCAGACUCCUACGGGAGGCAGCAGUGGGGAAUAUUGCACAAUGGGCGCAAGCCUGAUGCAGCCAUGCCGCGUGUAUGAAAAAGGCCUUCGGGUUGUAAAGUACUUUCAGCGGGGAGGAAGGUGUUGAGGUUAAUAACCUCGUCUAUUGANGUUACCCCCACAAAAGACGCCGCGGCACUCCCCGCCCCAGCAGCCGGGGUAACACAGGGUGUGCAAGCGUUAAUCGGAAUUACUGGGCGUAAAGCGCACGCAGGCGGUCUGUCAAGUCGGAUGUGAAAUCCCCGGGCUCAACCUGGGAACUGCAUUCGAAACUGGCAGGCUAGAGUCUUGUAGAGGGGGGUAGAAUUCCAGGUGUAGCGGUGAAAUGCGUAGAGAUCUGGAGGAAUACCGGUGGCGAAGGCGGCCCCCUGGACAAAGACUGACGCUCAGGUGCGAAAGCGUGGGGAGCAAACAGGAUUAGAUACCCUGGUAGUCCACGCCGUAAACGAUGUCGACUUGGAGGUUGUGCCCUUGAGGCGUGGCUUCCGGAGCUAACGCGUUAAGUCGACCGCCUGGGGAGUACGGCCGCAAGGUUAAAACUCAAAUGAAUUGACGGGGGCCCGCACAAGCGGUGGAGCAUGUGGUUUAAUUCGAUGCAACGCGAAGAACCUUACCUACUCUUGACAUCCAGAGAACUUUCCAGAGAUGGAUUGGUGCCUUCGGGAACUCUGAGACAGGUGCUGCAUGGCUGUCGUCAGCUCGUGUUGUGAAAUGUUGGGUUAAGUCCCGCAACGAGCGCAACCCUUAUCCUUUGUUGCCAGCGGUUAGGCCGGGAACUCAAAGGAGACUGCCAGUGAUAAACUGGAGGAAGGUGGGGAUGACGUCAAGUCAUCAUGGCCCUUACGAGUAGGGCUACACACGUGCUACAAUGGCGCAUACAAAGAGAAGCGACCUCGCGAGAGCAAGCGGACCUCAUAAAGUGCGUCGUAGUCCGGAUUGGAGUCUGCAACUCGACUCCAUGAAGUCGGAAUCGCUAGUAAUCGUGGAUCAGAAUGCCACGGUGAAUACGUUCCCGGGCCUUGUACACACCGCCCGUCACACCAUGGGAGUGGGUUGCAAAAGAAGUAGGUAGCNUAACCUUCGGGAGGGCG